UACGAAGGGGGCUAGCGUUGCUCGGAAUUACUGGGCGUAAAGCGCACGUAGGCGGCUCUUUAAGUCGGGUGUGAAAUCCUGGAGCUCAACUCCAGAACUGCCUUCGAUACUGAAGAGCUUGAGUCCGGGAGAGGUGAGUGGAACUGCGAGUGUAGAGGUGAAAUUCGUAGAUAUUCGCAAGAACACCAGUGGCGAAGGCGGCUCACUGGCCCGGUACUGACGAUGAGGUGCGAAAGCGUGGGGAGCAAACAGG
Molecule: ribosomal RNA, 253 nt
Filed under: uncultured bacterium
Lineage: Bacteria
Description: partial 16S ribosomal RNA
Rfam family: Bacterial small subunit ribosomal RNA
Source: RNAcentral